This 254-nucleotide long non-coding RNA is filed under the name Musa acuminata (dwarf banana). RNAcentral's name for it is "long non-coding RNA (MACU_LNC011588)". The record is from RNAcentral. Lineage: Eukaryota; Viridiplantae; Streptophyta; Magnoliopsida; Zingiberales; Musaceae.
ACAGCCCUAGCUGCUGCCACCUCUCGCUCCUCUCCCUCUUCCCUCUCUUUUCCCUCUUCUUCUCCUUCUUCCUUCUCCUUCCUUUCUUCUUCUUCUCUUCUUCCUCUCCUUCUCUUCCAGCUGCAGCUGCCACCGUCGCAGCUCCUCCUUUCCCUUCUCUUCUUCUCCUCUUCUUCUUCCCUCCUCCUCCCCGGCGUCACACACACCCUCACCUCUGUUUCCUCUGUAGGAAACAGAGGUAUCACAACCUCUCC